GCUGUAGCUCAGUGGAAGAGCAUCUGCUUGGCUUGCAGAAGGCCCCAGGUACAAUCCCCGACAUCUCCA
Podarcis lilfordi (Lilford's wall lizard) is the source of this 69-nucleotide non-coding RNA. Lineage: Eukaryota; Metazoa; Chordata; Lepidosauria; Squamata; Lacertidae. The record is from the annotation of a GenBank genome assembly.